This 301-nucleotide ribosomal RNA is filed under the name uncultured bacterium. RNAcentral's name for it is "partial 16S ribosomal RNA". It matches the Rfam family "Bacterial small subunit ribosomal RNA", at positions 509 to 807 of the family's 1533-position model. The record is from RNAcentral.
CAGCCGCCACGGGAAUACGUAGGUGGCAAGCGCUGUCCGGAAUUAUUGGGCGUAAAGGGCUCGCAGGCGGUUUCUUAAGUCUGAUGUGAAAGCCCCCGGCUCAACCGGGGAGGGUCAUUGGAAACUGGGAAACUUGAGUGCAGAAGAGGAGAGUGGAAUUCCACGUGUAGCGGUGAAAUGCGUAGAGAUGUGGAGGAACACCAGUGGCGAAGGCGACUCUCUGGUCUGUAACUGACGCUGAGGAGCGAAAGCGUGGGGAGCGAACAGGAUUAGAUACCCGGGUAGUCCCUGUCUCUUAUAC